Non-coding RNA from Colletotrichum spaethianum, 72 nucleotides. Lineage: Eukaryota; Fungi; Ascomycota; Sordariomycetes; Glomerellales; Glomerellaceae. The record is from the annotation of a RefSeq genome assembly.
GCCCCUUUGGCUCAGUGGUAGAGCGUCGCACUCGUAAUGCGAAGGUCCACGGUUCAAUCCCGUGAGGGGGCA